RNAcentral lists this long non-coding RNA (896 nucleotides) under Homo sapiens (human). Its description in RNAcentral is "HSALNT0100878". The record is from RNAcentral. Lineage: Eukaryota; Metazoa; Chordata; Mammalia; Primates; Hominidae.
GCUCUGGGCAGUACGAUUCCACUUUAGGAAUUUAAGUAGGGGAGAACAUAAUCAGAUUGGCAUUUUAGCAAUAUCCCUUCAACCAAAAUGUGGAAAUUGGACUGAGAGAGAAUGGAGGCAGGGAAGCCCCAUGGGAAGCUUGUGAGAAAGUGGGGACAGGAGCCAAGGCCAUGGGAGCUGGGGUGGAAAGGAUAAGACCCGACAGCACACGGCGGUUGUGUAGCUGUAGAGAGGGGAGCAGAGUCGUCACAUGGCGCCCAGGUUUCGACUGGGACAGUAACUGGGUAGGCAGUGGUCAAGAUGGGAAAUCAGUGGAGGGUCAGAACUGGAGACAGAAUGAGAUCCUUUGGGAAACAAUGAGUCUGAGCUAUCAGCGGGCAGAUGUGGGAAUGGAUGUGAAAAUUUGAGGUCCCCCUUACGGGGGUGCUACUGGACAUCAUAGGAAUAAGUGAGUCACCCAGACAGAGGGUGAAGAGUCAGAAGGGAAGACAACGACGCUGUCAACCUUCAAGGCUCCAGAGAGAGACAAGGAGAUGAGGAGACAAGCAGACGAACAGCGGAACAAUGCAGCAGAGAAAGAGAGAAGAGAAGGAACGUCUGAACGUCGAGAGGAGUUCGGCUGCUGGACGGCCAAACUCCAGGGGAAGAUCAUCUUCCCACUCCAUUCCCCCUCCAGCUCCCCAUCCAUCCCACUGAGAGCCACUUCCACCACUCAAUAAAAGCCCCACAUUUAUCCUUCAAGUCCAUGUGUGAUCCAAUUCUUCUGGGAUGCUAAACAAGAACCUGGGAUACAGAAAGCUGUCACACUGGCCCUCUGCCCUUGCAGAAAGGCAGAGGGGCCCUGAGCUGGUUGAUACUUAAGCUGUCUGUGGAUGGCAGAACUAAAAGAGCAUUGG